RNAcentral lists this ribosomal RNA (301 nucleotides) under uncultured bacterium. RNAcentral describes it as "partial 16S ribosomal RNA". It matches the Rfam family "Bacterial small subunit ribosomal RNA", at positions 512 to 810 of the family's 1533-position model. The record is from RNAcentral.
CCGCCGCGGUAAUACAGAGGGUGCGAGCGUUAAUCGGAUUUACUGGGCGUAAAGCGUGCGUAGGCGGCUUCUUAAGUCGGAUGUGAAAUCCCUGAGCUUAACUUAGGAAUUGCAUUCGAUACUGGGAAGCUAGAGUAUGGGAGAGGAUGGUAGAAUUCCAGGUGUAGCGGUGAAAUGCGUAGAGAUCUGGAGGAAUACCGAUGGCGAAGGCAGCCAUCUGGCCUAAUACUGACGCUGAGGUACGAAAGCAUGGGGAGCAAACAGGAUUAGAUACCCCUGUAGUCCCUGUCUCUUAUACACA